Molecule: ribosomal RNA, 1108 nt
Filed under: Salmonella enterica subsp. enterica serovar Typhimurium
Lineage: Bacteria; Pseudomonadati; Pseudomonadota; Gammaproteobacteria; Enterobacterales; Enterobacteriaceae
Description: partial 23S ribosomal RNA
Rfam family: Bacterial large subunit ribosomal RNA
Source: RNAcentral
GUGUGACUGCGUACCUUUUGUAUAAUGGGUCAGCGACUUAUAUUCUGUAGCAAGGUUAACCGUAUAGGGGAGCCGGAGGGAAACCGAGUCUUAACCGGGCGUUAAGUUGCAGGGUAUAGACCCGAAACCCGGUGAUCUAGCCAUGGGCAGGUUGAAGGUUGGGUAACACUAACUGGAGGACCGAACCGACUAAUGUUGAAAAAUUAGCGGAUGACCUGUGGCUGGGGGUGAAAGGCCAAUCAAACCGGGAGAUAGCUGGUUCUCCCCGAAAGCUAUUUAGGUAGCGCCUCGUGAAUUCAUCUCCGGGGGUAGAGCACUGUUUCGGCUAGGGGGCCAUCCCGGCUUACCAACCCGAUGCAAACUGCGAAUACCGGAGAAUGUUAUCACGGGAGACACACGGCGGGUGCUAACGUCCGUCGUGAAGAGGGAAACAACCCAGACCGCCAGCUAAGGUCCCAAAGUCAUGGUUAAGUGGGAAACGAUGUGGGAAGGCCCAGACAGCCAGGAUGUUGGCUUAGAAGCAGCCAUCAUUUAAAGAAAGCGUAAUAGCUCACUGGUCGAGUCGGCCUGCGCGGAAGAUGUAACGGGGCUAAACCAUGCACCGAAGCUGCGGCAGCGAACGUAUCACCCAAGACAACUUUACGGAGUUGACGAUUGACGGAGCGAAGCGACGUCAAAGCGUUCAUUAAAGUCGAGUUGGCUUAGGGAUACGUUCGUUGGGUAGGGGAGCGUUCUGUAAGCCUGUGAAGGUGUGUCGUGAGGCAUGCUGGAGGUAUCAGAAGUGCGAAUGCUGACAUAAGUAACGAUAAAGCGGGUGAAAAGCCCGCUCGCCGGAAGACCAAGGGUUCCUGUCCAACGUUAAUCGGGGCAGGGUGAGUCGACCCCUAAGGCGAGGCCGAAAGGCGUAGUCGAUGGGAAACGGGUUAAUAUUCCCGUACUUGGUGUUACUGCGAAGGGGGGACGGAGAAGGCUAUGUUGGCCGGGCGACGGUUGUCCCGGUUUAAGCGUGUAGGUGUGUGUUCCAGGUAAAUCCGGUUCACUUUAACACUGAGGCGUGACGACGAGGCACUACGGUGCUGAAGCAACAAAUGCCCUGCUUCCAGGAAAA